CCUACGGGUGGCAGCAGUAGGGAAUCUUCCACAAUGGGCGAGAGCCUGAAGGAGCAACGCCGCGUGGGUGAAGAAGGUCUUCGGAUCGUAAAACCCUGUUGUUAGAGAAGAAAGUGCGUGAGAGUAACUGUUCACGUUUCGACGGUAUCAAAAAAGAAAGCCACAGCUAACUACGUGCCAGCAGCCGCGGUAAUACGUAGGUGGCAAGCGUUAUACGGAUUUAUUGGGCGUAAAGGGAACGCAGGCGGUCUGUUAAGUCUGAUGUGAAGGCCUUCGGCUUAACCGGAGUAGUGCAUUGGAGACUGGGAGACUUGAGUGCAGAAGAGGAGAGUGGAAUUCGAUGUGUAGCGGUGAAAUGCUUAGAUAUAUGGAAGAACACCAGUGGCGAAAGCGGCUCUCUGGUCUGUAACUGACGCUGAGGUUCGAAAGCGUGGGUAGCAAACAGGAUUAGAUACCCCGGUAGUC
RNAcentral lists this ribosomal RNA (465 nucleotides) under uncultured bacterium. RNAcentral's name for it is "partial 16S ribosomal RNA". It matches the Rfam family "Bacterial small subunit ribosomal RNA", at positions 338 to 795 of the family's 1533-position model. The record is from RNAcentral.